RNAcentral lists this ribosomal RNA (439 nucleotides) under uncultured bacterium. Its description in RNAcentral is "bacterial SSU rRNA". It matches the Rfam family "Bacterial small subunit ribosomal RNA", at positions 355 to 796 of the family's 1533-position model. The record is from RNAcentral.
UCGAGGAUCUUCGGCAAUGAGCGCAAGCUUGACCGAGCGACGCCGCGUGCGGGAUGAAGGCCUUCGGGUUGUAAACCGCUUUGGUCCGGAAGUAAGGUAGGAGCAAUCCUCCUUGAACGACCGGAGAAACAAGCACGGGCUAAGUUCGUGCCAGCAGCCGCGGUAAGACGAACCGUGCGAACGUUGUUCGGAAUCACUGGGCUUAAAGGGCGCGUAGGCGGCCGGGUUGGUCGUGGGUGAAAUCCCCCAGCUUAACUGGGGAACUGCCUACGAUACUGCCCGGCUCGAGGGAGGAAGGGGCGGCCGGAACUGUCGGUGGAGCGGUGAAAUGCGUUGAGAUCGACAGGAACGCCGGUGGCGAAAGCGGGCCGCUGGCCCUCUUCUGACGCUGAGGCGCGAAAGCCAGGGGAGCGAACGGGAUUAGAUACCCCCGUAGUCC